AAAAACACCUAGCCUAGCUAACCAGAGCCAUCCCAGCACCUAAGUCGAAGGCCCUCCGAUAACACUAGCUGGGGUGGGUAAUCCACCUGAAACCAAGAACCCGGCAAAACACAGUAGCAGCACCGUCAACUAACCUUCACCGAGGAGAGAUGAAAACGUUUUGACGAACAAACCCAAGGCCGUGCACAUCAGCAAUACCGGAUAUGUGCUUGGUUAUCAAAAAUAAAUCUCAACACUUUUGUCUAUUAAAGUCUGAUUGAGAAUCAGAUGUCAAAUUCUAAUUGGAGCUAUGAGCUCGUUGAUCAUUUGUUGAUCUUGAUUUCAAGAUUGGGAGUAGUUAUGUAACUAUCUGAAGUGUGCCAAUAAAUAUUAAAGGGGGCUGACUUAAGCAUGAUGAGAGCAGAAAUUCACAAAUUUGACUCUCAUUACGUUGAUAAUCUCAUUGGUUGUUUCCCCUAAUCAAGCUCGUACAAUAUACCAGG
This 482-nucleotide unclassified non-coding RNA is filed under the name Hevea brasiliensis (rubber tree). The record is from RNAcentral. Lineage: Eukaryota; Viridiplantae; Streptophyta; Magnoliopsida; Malpighiales; Euphorbiaceae.